ACAUAUGACCACGGGUAGUAGAAAAUACGGGAUCCCGUCUGCUCUCCCAUAGUCAAGCCACUAACCGGUAGAUUAGUAGUUAGGUCGGUGAUGACUAGCGAAUCCCCGCUGUUGUAUGUU
This 120-nucleotide ribosomal RNA is filed under the name Fusarium poae. Lineage: Eukaryota; Fungi; Ascomycota; Sordariomycetes; Hypocreales; Nectriaceae. The record is from RNAcentral.